GGAGGCCUUCAACACACUGAAAGCGCAGCAGGAGCUGAGCCUUAUUGCCUCUGAACCAGACGAAAGCCACCUUUUCCGAGUGAACAACUAUUCAGCCUUAAAUGUCCUGCUGUCCACCCUGCAGCAGAAGAUUGGUAUAGAAGGUACAGCUGGAGGCAUCCUGCAAUUUGAGCUGGCCCAGAGCGGUUUUAGUGUCCACCUCCUGGAUCAGAACCAACUCCUGUUUGGUGCCGUGGGAGCCUUUGACUGGUCCGGAGGAGUUCUUCACUAUGACAUCCCAAGCGAGACAGCCGUCUUCUUGAACGAGUCCACGGAGGAUGCCGGUUCAAGGAAUGGCUAUUUAGG
This is a long non-coding RNA of Hemicordylus capensis (graceful crag lizard), 345 nucleotides long. RefSeq lists it as uncharacterized. NCBI's taxonomy places the organism in Eukaryota, Metazoa, Chordata, Lepidosauria, Squamata, Cordylidae. The transcript is spliced from 3 exons. The record is from RefSeq and is a predicted model, not a curated record.